Molecule: transfer RNA, 75 nt
Filed under: Nitrospina gracilis
Lineage: Bacteria; Pseudomonadati; Nitrospinota; Nitrospinia; Nitrospinales; Nitrospinaceae
Also listed under: 3 other names
Description: tRNA-Asn
Rfam family: tRNA
About the family: Transfer RNA (tRNA) molecules are approximately 80 nucleotides in length. Their secondary structure includes four short double-helical elements and three loops (D, anti-codon, and T loops). Further hydrogen bonds mediate the characteristic L-shaped molecular structure. tRNAs have two regions of fundamental functional importance: the anti-codon, which is responsible for specific mRNA codon recognition, and the 3' end, to which the tRNAs corresponding amino acid is attached (by aminoacyl-tRNA synthetases). tRNAs cope with the degeneracy of the genetic code in two manners: having more than one tRNA (with a specific anti-codon) for a particular amino acid; and 'wobble' base-pairing, i.e. permitting non-standard base-pairing at the 3rd anti-codon position.
Source: RNAcentral
UCCGGUGUGGCGCAAUGGUAGCGCAAUCGACUGUUAAUCGAUGUGUUAGAGGUUCGAGUCCUCUCACCGGAGCCA